Molecule: ribosomal RNA, 301 nt
Filed under: uncultured bacterium
Lineage: Bacteria
Description: partial 16S ribosomal RNA
Rfam family: Bacterial small subunit ribosomal RNA
Source: RNAcentral
CAGUAGCCACGGGAAUACGUAGGUGGCAAGCGUUGUCCGGAAUUAUUGGGCGUAAAGGGCUCGCAGGCGGUUUCUUAAGUCUGAUGUGAAAGCCCCCGGCUCAACCGGGGAGGGUCAUUGGAAACUGGGAAACUUGAGUGCAGAAGAGGAGAGUGGAAUUCCACGUGUAGCGGUGAAAUGCGUAGAGAUGUGGAGGAACACCAGUGGCGAAGGCGACUCACUGGUCUGUAACUGACGCUGAGGAGCGAAAGCGUGGGGAGCGAACAGGAUUAGAUACCCGGGUAGUCCCUGUCUCUUAUAC